This 253-nucleotide unclassified non-coding RNA is filed under the name uncultured Alphaproteobacteria bacterium. Its description in RNAcentral is "contains 16S-23S intergenic spacer region". It matches the Rfam family "Bacterial small subunit ribosomal RNA", at positions 524 to 776 of the family's 1533-position model. The record is from RNAcentral. Lineage: Bacteria; Pseudomonadati; Pseudomonadota; Alphaproteobacteria.
UACGUAGGUGACAAGCGUUGUUCGGAAUUACUGGGCGUAAAGCGCACGUAGGCGGAUAUUUAAGUGAGGGGUGAAAUCCCAGGGCUCAACCCUGGAACUGCCUUUCAUACUGGGUAUCUCGAGUUCGAGAGAGGUGAGUGGAAUUGCGAGUGUAGAGGUGAAAUUCGUAGAUAUUCGCAGGAACACCAGUGGCGAAGGCGGCUCACUGGCUCGAUACUGACGCUGAGGUGCGAAAGCGUGGGGAGCAAACAGG